AGCAGUCGCCGCGGGAAUACGAAGGGUGCAAGCGUUAAUCGGAAUUACUGGGCGUAAAGCGUGCGUAGGCGGUUUGUUAAGUCUGUUGUGAAAUCCCCGGGCUCAACCUGGGAAUGGCAAUGGAUACUGGCAAGCUAGAGUGUGUCAGAGGAUGGUGGAAUUCCCGGUGUAGCGGUGAAAUGCGUAGAGAUCGGGAGGAACAUCAGUGGCGAAGGCGGCCAUCUGGGACAACACUGACGCUGAGGCACGAAAGCGUGGGGAGCAAACAGGAUUAGAUACCCGCGUAGUCCCUGUCUCUUAUAC
This 303-nucleotide ribosomal RNA is filed under the name uncultured bacterium. RNAcentral describes it as "partial 16S ribosomal RNA". It matches the Rfam family "Bacterial small subunit ribosomal RNA", at positions 507 to 807 of the family's 1533-position model. The record is from RNAcentral.